AUUGAACGCUGGCGGCAUGCUUUACACAUGCAAGUCGAACGGUAACAGGCCUUCGGGUGCUGACGAGUGGCGAACGGGUGAGUAAUGCAUCGGAACGUACCCAGAGGUGGGGGAUAACGCAGCGAAAGCUGUGCUAAUACCGCAUGUGAUCUGAGGCUGACAGCGGGGGACCGAGCAGCAAUGUUUGGCCUCGCGCCUUUGGAGCGGCCGAUGUCGGAUUAGCUAGUUGGUGGGGUAAAGGCCUACCAAGGCGACGAUCCGUAGCUGGUCUGAGAGGACGACCAGCCACACUGGGACUGAGACACGGCCCAGACUCCUACGGGAGGCAGCAGUGGGGAAUUUUGGACAAUGGGCGCAAGCCUGAUCCAGCAAUGCCGCGUGCGGGAAGAAGGCCUUCGGGUUGUAAAGCGCUUUUGGCAGGAACGAAACGGUGUCCGCUAAUACCGGGCGCUAAUGACGGUACCUGAAGAAUAAGCACCGGCUAACUACGUG
Molecule: ribosomal RNA, 492 nt
Filed under: uncultured bacterium
Lineage: Bacteria
Description: partial 16S ribosomal RNA
Rfam family: Bacterial small subunit ribosomal RNA
Source: RNAcentral